Molecule: ribosomal RNA, 250 nt
Filed under: uncultured prokaryote
Description: partial 16S ribosomal RNA
Rfam family: Bacterial small subunit ribosomal RNA
Source: RNAcentral
UACGUAGGGAGCGAGCGUUGUCCGGAAUUACUGGGUGUAAAGGGAGCGUAGGCGGGAUUGCAAGUCAGAUGUGAAAUGCAGGGGCUCAACCCCUGAGCUGCAUUUGAAACUGUAGUUCUUGAGUGAAGUAGAGGUAAGCGGAAUUCCUGGUGUAGCGGUGAAAUGCGUAGAUAUCAGGAGGAACACCGGUGGCGAAGGCGGCUUACUGGGCUUUUACUGACGCUGAGGCUCGAAAGCGUGGGGAGCAAAC